Molecule: ribosomal RNA, 939 nt
Filed under: Triticum aestivum (bread wheat)
Lineage: Eukaryota; Viridiplantae; Streptophyta; Magnoliopsida; Poales; Poaceae
Description: partial small subunit ribosomal RNA
Source: RNAcentral
AUGGGUAACGCCCAAGUCGGACCGACCAGGAACCUCGCCGAUGCCGCGCGCUCCGUGCGGACGUUCAAGAUCGACGGCUUCAGCUCGACUUCCACGGCCCCGGCCACGGUAGCCAGCGGUCACGACGAGUGCAUCGUGGUAUGCUCCAGGUGGAGCGUCGGCUGGCACGAGUGGGAGAUCCGCUGCUACCCUGCGUCCUCGGUGUGCAGCAUGUGGAUGUCGCUCAAGCUCGUGCUCCUCGCCCAUCCCGCCGCCACCGGAGACGUCGUCACUGCGCGCCUAGACUGCUGGCUCGUCGAUCCCGCGGGUUUGGCCGAGCAGUCGGAGCCCAGGACGGUGUCCGCAGCCUUCGCGCGCCACUGCGGCGGCGAGUCGGCGCCGCUCGUGCUGGCGCACAGGCGCGACCUCGAGAUCUCCGGCUACCUCCGGGGCGACGGCACCCUCACCGUGAAAUGCGCCAUCACGGUGCUCCGGGAACAGCGCCCAGGCGUGGACGUGCCCGCGUCGCUUCCUGUGCCGGCACCUAGGGGAGCUCCUGCGGAGCGGGACGGGAUCCGACAUCACGUUCGUUGUCUCCGGCGAAACGUUUGCCGCGCAGCGCACAAGGUCGUCCUGGCCGCGAGGUCACCGCUCUUCAUGGCCGAGUUCUUCGGGGACGCGAGCGACAAGAAGUGCGCGCGGCGCCUGGAGGUCCACGGCAUGGAGGCGGCGGAGUUCAAGGCCAUGCUGCACUUCAUCUACACCGACACGACAACGGAGCUCGACCGACACGACGGUGAGGAGUCGGUGGCGUUGACCUGUGGCCUCCUCGCGGCCGCGGACAGGACGGCGGCCACGAUUCUGAAUCUGGCGGAGCUGAACAACUGCCCACGGCUCAAGGCGAGGUGCGUUCGCAAACCUCUUUUUACCGCACUUUUUGUCAGUAUGAUGCAUGUAUGA